This 253-nucleotide ribosomal RNA is filed under the name uncultured bacterium. Its description in RNAcentral is "partial 16S ribosomal RNA". It matches the Rfam family "Bacterial small subunit ribosomal RNA", at positions 524 to 776 of the family's 1533-position model. The record is from RNAcentral.
GACGGACCACACAAACGUUAUUCGGAAUUACUGGGCUUAAAGGGUGCGUAGGCUGUGCAGAAAGUUGGGUGUGAAAUCCCUCGGCUCAACCGAGGAAUUGCGCCCAAAACUACUGUGCUCGAGGAAGACAGAGGUAAGCGGAACUUAGGGUGGAGCGGUGAAAUGCGUUGAUAUCCUAAGGAACACCGGUGGCGAAAGCGGCUUACUGGGUCUUUUCUGACGCUGAGGCACGAAAGCUAGGGUAGCGAACGGG